UCCGUGAACGUGUGAAUAUUUUGGAUGAAUUAAGAGACGAAGAAAUCAUCGCACGAUACAGACUGAGCAGAGAAGCGAUUACGUACCUGAAUGAAACAUUGAGGGUAGAUUUAGAACCGAAGACAAAAAGAUCAAACUCACUCUCAUCUCUUACUCAGGUACAGACUAAAUUAUUUUACGGGUGCAUGUAAAGAAAUGUUCACUGCAUUGUAACCAAUUGAACUGUUGGGAAUCGUCUUUGAUAAACAUGCGUUUUGUAGAUAUGGAUCAAUUUGUGUUUGUAAACAAAAUAAAGUUUAGCUAAAGAAACUUCAGCGUACAGUUUACAUAGUAUUGACAGGCCUGUAUAAAGUCGCGCCAGUCAAAAAUCAUAAAAAGCGACAUUUAAAGUUAUGGUAGCCAGAACUAAAUAAAGUUAUGUUAAGUAUCAUCAAACGAUCCGGCAAAAAUGUUCAUUAUCUAGCGCCAAGUAACAAAAAUGCUCUUUAUGUGUUGCAUCUCAUACAGGUACUGUUGUGGGUUAUGCAUAUAUAUUAUGUCUAUAAACGGCAUAAAGACAUGAACUAUUUAACUGUGUUAUUCGGACGGUGUCAAACUCGGAUUCUAGCGAUACUAUUUGAAUAUUUCUUGGCAAAGGUUCUAAUCGGGCUUCGGUUCUUGAGCAAGGGUGAUUUUUUUUCUGAGGUUGCAGAUAUUCAUGGUGUCAGUAAGCCUACAGCAGCUCGAUGCUUCCAUGUUUUCAUUGAUAGCCUGAAUCGUCGUCUACAUAAUAUCAGAUUCCCAACUGAAAAUGGCGCUAUGGCACUCUCAAAACAAGACUUCUACAGGCGGUGUAGGAUUCCAAACGUUCUCGGUGCUGUUGAUGGGACUUUGGUUCCAAUUCUAGGCCCUUCCGAAAAUGAAGAGGCAUAUAUUUGUAGAAAGGGGUUUCACGCCAUCAAUGUGCAAGCUGUUUGU
Molecule: long non-coding RNA, 957 nt
Organism: Dreissena polymorpha
Lineage: Eukaryota; Metazoa; Mollusca; Bivalvia; Myida; Dreissenidae
Exons: 3
Source: RefSeq, a predicted model, not a curated record